GGGGCUGUAGCUCAGUUGGGAGAGCGCCAGCUUUGCAAGCUGGAUGUCGUCGGUUCGAUCCCGAUCAGCUCCA
This 73-nucleotide transfer RNA is filed under the name Sulfobacillus sp. RNAcentral's name for it is "tRNA-Ala". It matches the Rfam family "tRNA". Rfam says of the family: Transfer RNA (tRNA) molecules are approximately 80 nucleotides in length. Their secondary structure includes four short double-helical elements and three loops (D, anti-codon, and T loops). The record is from RNAcentral. Lineage: Bacteria; Bacillati; Bacillota; Clostridia; Eubacteriales; Clostridiales Family XVII. Incertae Sedis. RNAcentral also lists the same sequence under 1 other name.